This 72-nucleotide transfer RNA is filed under the name Ictidomys tridecemlineatus (thirteen-lined ground squirrel). RNAcentral describes it as "Spermophilus tridecemlineatus (thirteen-lined ground squirrel) tRNA". It matches the Rfam family "tRNA". From Rfam's summary of the family: Transfer RNA (tRNA) molecules are approximately 80 nucleotides in length. Lineage: Eukaryota; Metazoa; Chordata; Mammalia; Rodentia; Sciuridae. The record is from Rfam by way of RNAcentral.
AGGGCUGUAGCUCAGUGGCAGAGCACUUGCCUAGCAUGCAUGAGGCCCUGGGUUUGAUCCUCAGCACCACAU